AAUCUUCCGCAAUGGACGCAAGUCUGACGGAGCAACGCCGCGUGAGUGAUGAAGGUUUUCGGAUCGUAAAACUCUGUUGUUAGGGAAGAACAAGUAAGGGAGUCACUGCCCUUGCCACGACGGUACCUCACCAGAAAGCCACGGCUAACUACGUGCCAGCAGCCGCGGUAAUACGUAGGUGGCAAGCGUUAACCGGAAUUAUUGGGCGUAAAGCGCGCGCAGGCGGUUUCUUAAGUCUGAUGUGAAAGCCCGCGGCUCAACCGUGGAGGGUCAUUGGAAACUGGGAAGCUUGAGUGCAGAAGAGGAGAGUGGAAUUCCAUGUGUAGCGGUGAAAUGCGUAGAGAUAUGGAGGAACACCAGUGGCGAAGGCGACUCUCUGGUCUGCAACUGACGCUGAGGCGCGAAAGCGUGGGGAGCGAACA
Molecule: ribosomal RNA, 422 nt
Filed under: uncultured bacterium
Lineage: Bacteria
Description: partial 16S ribosomal RNA
Rfam family: Bacterial small subunit ribosomal RNA
Source: RNAcentral